RNAcentral lists this ribosomal RNA (231 nucleotides) under uncultured bacterium. RNAcentral describes it as "partial 16S ribosomal RNA". It matches the Rfam family "Bacterial small subunit ribosomal RNA", at positions 118 to 347 of the family's 1533-position model. The record is from RNAcentral.
UGAGGAACAUGACCUUCGGCGGGGGAUAGCCGGCCCAACGGCCGGGUAAUACCGCGUACGACCACAUGGGGACAUCCCUGAGUGGUGAAAGCAGCAAUGCGCCGAUGGAGUGCCUCGCGGCCUAUCAGCUAGUUGGUGAGGUAACGGCUCACCAAGGCAACGACGGGUANCUGGUCUGAGAGGAUGGCCAGCCACAUUGGGACUGAGACACGGCCCAGACCUNUACGGGAG